Molecule: long non-coding RNA, 338 nt
Organism: Gallus gallus (chicken)
Lineage: Eukaryota; Metazoa; Chordata; Aves; Galliformes; Phasianidae
Source: Ensembl
GGAUUAUUGAUAGAACUGAUGGGAUUAUUGAUACAAUUGAUGGGUUUGAUAGGAUUAUUGAUCGCUUGUAGGUAUUAUUGAUGAGAUUAAUGGGAUUAUUGAUGGGAUUAUUGAUAAUUUUGAUGGGAUUAUUGAUACAAUUGAUGAGUUUGAUGUAAUUAUUGAUCGCUUGAAGGCGGUACUGAUGGGAUUAAUGGGAUCAUUAAUAGCUGUGAUGGAAUUAUUGAUAGAAUUGAUGAGUUUAAUGGGAUUAUUGAUCACUUGAAGGCAUUAUUGAUGGGAUUAAUGGGAUUAUUGAUAGCUUUGAUGGGAUUAUUGAUAGAAUUGAUGGGUUUGAU